Molecule: ribosomal RNA, 636 nt
Filed under: uncultured bacterium
Lineage: Bacteria
Description: bacterial SSU rRNA
Rfam family: Bacterial small subunit ribosomal RNA (bases 1-543)
Source: RNAcentral
CCUACGGGAGGCAGCAGUGGGGAAUUUUGGACAAUGGGCGAAAGCCUGAUCCAGCAAUGCCGCGUGAGUGAAGAAGGCCUUCGGGUUGUAAAGCUCUUUUGUCAGGGAAGAAACGGUGAGGGCUAAUAUCCCUUGCUAAUGACGGUACCUGAAGAAUAAGCACCGGCUAACUACGUGCCAGCAGCCGCGGUAAUACGUAGGGUGCAAGCGUUAAUCGGAAUUACUGGGCGUAAAGCGUGCGCAGGCGGUUUUGUAAGUCUGUCGUGAAAUCCCCGGGCUCAACCUGGGAAUUGCGAUGGAGACUGCAAGGCUAGAAUCUGGCAGAGGGGGGUAGAAUUCCACGUGUAGCAGUGAAAUGCGUAGAGAUGUGGAGGAACACCGAUGGCGAAGGCAGCCCCCUGGGUCAAGAUUGACGCUCAUGCACGAAAGCGUGGGGAGCAAACAGGAUUAGAUACCCUGGUAGUCCACGCCCUAAACGAUGUCUACUAGUUGUCGGGUUUUAAUUAACUUGGUAACGCAGCUAACGNGUAGAAGUAGACCGCGUCGGAGGUACGGUACGACGAGAAGUAAACUAACGAAAGUAAAGUAGACGGACGUAGAGACGUACGACGACGGACGACGACGAGGGAGGAGGAG